RNAcentral lists this non-coding RNA (22 nucleotides) under Arabidopsis thaliana (thale cress). The record is from RNAcentral. Lineage: Eukaryota; Viridiplantae; Streptophyta; Magnoliopsida; Brassicales; Brassicaceae.
UCGGUCCACUCGUUUAGCAUUU